GAUGAACGCUGGCGGCGUGCCUAAUACAUGCAAGUCGAGCGAACGGACGAGAAGCUUGCUUCUCUGAUGUUAGCGGCGGACGGGUGAGUAACACGUGGAUAACCUACCUAUAAGACUGGGAUAACUUCGGGAAACCGUAGCUAAUACCGGAUAAUAUUUUGAACCGCAUGGUUCAAAAGUGUAAGACGGUCUUGCUGUCACUUAUAGAUGGAUCCGCGCUGCAUUAGCUAGUUGGUAAGGUAACGGCUUACCAAGGCAACGAUGCAUAGCCGACCUGAGAGGGUGAUCGGCCACCCUGGAACUGAGACACGGUCCAGACUCCUACGGGAGGCAGCAGUAGGGAAUCUUCCGCAAUGGGCGAAAGCCUGACGGAGCAACGCCGCGUGAGUGAUGAAGGUCUUCGGAUCGUAAAACUCUGUUAUUAGGGAAGAACAUAUGUGUAAGUAACUGUGCACAUCUUGACGGUACCUAAUCAGAAAGCCACGGCUAACUACGUG
RNAcentral lists this ribosomal RNA (497 nucleotides) under uncultured bacterium. RNAcentral describes it as "partial 16S ribosomal RNA". It matches the Rfam family "Bacterial small subunit ribosomal RNA", at positions 28 to 507 of the family's 1533-position model. The record is from RNAcentral.